UGGCUCAGGACGAACGCUGGCGGCGUGCCUAAUACAUGCAAGUCGAGCGAGUCUGCCUUGAAGAUCGGAGUGCUUGCACUCUGUGAAACAAGAUACAGGCUAGCGGCGGACGGGUGAGUAACACGUGGGUAACCUGCCCAAGAGAUCGGGAUAACACCUGGAAACAGAUGCUAAUACCGGAUAACAACAGAUGAUGCCUAUCAACUGUUUAAAAGAUGGUUCUGCUAUCACUCUUGGAUGGACCUGCGGUGCAUUAGCUAGUUGGUAGGGUAACGGCCUACCAAGGCGAUGAUGCAUAGCCGAGUUGAGAGACUGAUCGGCCACAUUGGGACUGAGACACGGCCCAAACUCCUACGGGAGGCAGCAGUAGGGAAUCUUCCACAAUGGACGCAAGUCUGAUGGAGCAACGCCGCGUGAGUGAAGAAGGGUUUCGGCUCGUAAAGCUCUGUUGUUGGUGAAGAAGGACAGGGGGUAGUAACUGACCUUUGUUUGACGGUAAUCAAUUAGAAAGUCACGGCUAACUACGUGCCAGCAGCCGCGGUAAUACGUAGGUGGCAAGCGUUGUCCGGAUUUAUUGGGCGUAAAGCGAGUGCAGGCGGCUCGGUAAGUCUGAUGUGAAAGCCUUCGGCUCAACCGGAGAAUUGCAUCAGAAACUGUCGAGCUUGAGUACAGAAGAGGAGAGUGGAACUCCAUGUGUAGCGGUGAAAUGCGUAGAUAUAUGGAAGAACACCGGUGGCGAAGGCGGCUCUCUGGUCUGUUACUGACGCUGAGGCUCGAAAGCAUGGGUAGCGAACAGGAUUAGAUACCCUGGUAGUCCAUGCCGUAAACGAUGAGUGCUAAGCGUUGGGAGGUUUCCGCCUCUCAGUGCUGCAGCUAACGCAUUNAGCACUCCGCCUGGGGAGUACGACCGCAAGGUUGAAACUCAAAGGAAUUGACGG
RNAcentral lists this ribosomal RNA (938 nucleotides) under Lactobacillus iners. RNAcentral describes it as "bacterial SSU rRNA". It matches the Rfam family "Bacterial small subunit ribosomal RNA", at positions 20 to 916 of the family's 1533-position model. The record is from RNAcentral. Lineage: Bacteria; Bacillati; Bacillota; Bacilli; Lactobacillales; Lactobacillaceae.